UUGAUUCUUAAUCAGAUUCAGACGUCAGACCGGAUUUACGCGUCGAGGCGGCGCCGGAGCGCCGAAGCACGGGUCGCUUCCACCUUGUUUGUGUGUCGAGGGACACGAGGCCCCAUUCGAUAAUGAUCCCUCCGCAGGUUCACCUACGGAGA
RNAcentral lists this unclassified non-coding RNA (152 nucleotides) under uncultured fungus. RNAcentral's name for it is "sequence contains ITS1". The record is from RNAcentral. Lineage: Eukaryota; Fungi.